UGCGAUUAGAGUUUGAUCCUGGCUCAGAAUCAACGCUGGCGGCGUGCCUAACACAUGCAAGUCGAACGCGAAAGUGGAGCAGUCCAUCAGUAGAGUGGCAAACGGGUGAGUAACGCGUGGGUGACCUGCCUUCGAGCGGGGGAUAACGUUCCGAAAGGGACGCUAAUACCGCAUAAUAUCCUGCUUUUUAAGAGGUGGAGAUCAAAGCCUGGGACCGCAAGGCCAGGCACUCGAAGAGGGGCCCGCGUCCGAUUAGCUAGUUGGUGGGGUAAUGGCUCACCAAGGCUCCGAUCGGUAUCCGGCCUGAGAGGGCGGACGGACACACUGGGACUGAGACACGGCCCAGACUCCUACGGGAGGCAGCAGUGGGGAAUUGUUCGCAAUGGGCGCAAGCCUGACGACGCAACGCCGCGUGGAGGAUGAAGAUCUU
RNAcentral lists this ribosomal RNA (430 nucleotides) under uncultured Acidobacteriota bacterium. Its description in RNAcentral is "bacterial SSU rRNA". It matches the Rfam family "Bacterial small subunit ribosomal RNA", at positions 1 to 418 of the family's 1533-position model. The record is from RNAcentral. Lineage: Bacteria; Pseudomonadati; Acidobacteriota.